UGUUGUUGUUGAUAUGUGGCACCCAAAAUUGUACAGCAUCCAAGUGGAGAGAGAAUAAUGGUCAUCAUGUUGAUUAUGAUCAACGGCCUGAUAUCUUUAGUGGAACAAUUAGAUAUGCGAGUGUCCAUGCCCAUUUGGGGAGCACUGGUAGUAGGAGGGAUGAUUUAGAGUUACUGGCAUACACCCUUAUUUUCUUGAUAAGAGGAAGAUUACCUUGGCAAGGCUACCAGGGAGAUACCAAGAGUUUCCUUGUUUGCAAGAAGAAAAUGGCUACAACUCCGGAGAUGCUUUGUUGUUAUUGUCCAACUCCAUUCAAACAAUUUUUUGAGAUUGUCACAAAUAUGAAAUUUGACGAAGAGCCAAAUUAUGCCAAGCUUAUCUCUCUUUUUGAUGGUUUGAUUGAAGCGCCUGCUUCGAGACAAAUCGGAACUGAUGGGGCUCU
Zea mays is the source of this 442-nucleotide long non-coding RNA. RefSeq lists it as uncharacterized. The transcript is spliced from 3 exons. The record is from RefSeq and is a predicted model, not a curated record. NCBI's taxonomy places the organism in Eukaryota, Viridiplantae, Streptophyta, Magnoliopsida, Poales, Poaceae.